CAGCGAGCUGUUGGACUGGUUAGGCAGAACACUUCUACAGCCAGAGAGGGGCAGUCAAGAAAUGGAACGACAAGGCCACAGAACAUGACAUAAACAGAGCUGUGGGAGACCACCUCAAGCCCCUGGUAGAGCCUGGGGUGGUGUUUACCACUCCACCACGCCUUCAGCAGGCUGGAAAAGUGGGAUUGAUCUGUUUGUUUCAAUUGUCAGAAAUUUAAUUAUUUGACAUGGGAUUGGUACUGAUUUUCAUACUAAGAGGGACCAAUAGUCUGAUGAUUGGUCAGUCAUUGGGUUCAUUUGUUGAAGUCAAAUCAAACUUUAUUUAUACAGACAUGGAUGCAACACAAUGGCUUCACAGGAAAAAACAAUGAAAAUAAGCAGAAAUAUUUAGUACAGAAGAUAAGAGGAUAAAAAACAGAAGACUAAUGAGCAUUUAUGGAAAUGCCAUUGAUUACAUUAUAAAUUGGAUGCAACAUCCAACCCAACAUAUAAGCUUGUUUUCUAGGUUGGGUUCUGAAAGACACUAUGGGGGUGUCCACUGAAAGUUGACUAGUAACAACAACUGGGACCUAAAAGACACCCACCAUGAGACCCACUAAAUUUACCCAAGAAGAGGAAAACAAAAGAAAAACCCACACCAAACUUAGACAGGAAGCAAACCAAAAAGGUGGUUAAAAUAAUUUAUUACAAUCAAUACCAUUCAUACUAUUACAAAAUCAUAAUUCUCAUUCAUUCUUAAUUAAUUCUAUUUACAAAAACAUCAAACAAAAACAAACCUCAGGGGAGCAUCGUCCCUCCCCGUCAUACCUAACCAAUACCUAACCCUUUCCCUAUCUCCCCUUCCCUAAUCUAUCCCCUUACCAAACUCACUCUAA
This is a long non-coding RNA of Oncorhynchus tshawytscha (Chinook salmon), 875 nucleotides long. The record is from Ensembl. NCBI's taxonomy places the organism in Eukaryota, Metazoa, Chordata, Actinopteri, Salmoniformes, Salmonidae.